RNAcentral lists this long non-coding RNA (230 nucleotides) under Vigna radiata. RNAcentral describes it as "long non-coding RNA (VRAD_LNC003114)". The record is from RNAcentral. Lineage: Eukaryota; Viridiplantae; Streptophyta; Magnoliopsida; Fabales; Fabaceae.
AAGAAUUGCUUGACGAGCAAGUGUUGGUGUGCGCAUAAGACUGCUUGAUCAUUCUGCACUGAAGGUGUUUCAUACGUGAUCAAAUACUUCUCUCAAUCUUGUGAAGAUUGUGGCUGCCCUGUUGUGAUUACAGGAAGAGGACGUGUUGCGUUCUGGGAAACUUUUAGGAUUGUUCAAAGUUGUCAAAGACUGUAGGAGAUGGGAUAUCUUGCUACUAUUCUUUAGGUGUU